CUACUGGCCCAAGUGGCAUGCAUUUUCCUCCCGGUGAGAUAGAUCCAGAUGCCUGCCUCACCUCCAUUCCUAAGGAUGCGACCUUUGAUGACUGGAAAGUCAUCAAGGAAUUGACCGAAAGGGUGAUGCUUCCUAUAGAGCUGAGGAGACUUGACUGCAUGUCCCUUAGCACUCGGUAGUGAUUCUCCAUGACCGUUGUUUAUCAGGUGCCAUUCUCAUCUUCUAGUCUUUUUUUUGGAUUUCUCUUCUCAUCCCUUUGCUAACCAUCCUUCUCUGUAGGUCCU
Molecule: long non-coding RNA, 284 nt
Filed under: Elaeis guineensis (African oil palm)
Lineage: Eukaryota; Viridiplantae; Streptophyta; Magnoliopsida; Arecales; Arecaceae
Description: long non-coding RNA (EGUI_LNC026603)
Source: RNAcentral